AUUGAACGCUGGCGGCAUGCCUUACACAUGCAAGUCGAGCGGCAGCGCGGGGCAACCUGGCGGCGAGCGGCGAACGGGUGAGUAAUACAUCGGAACGUACCCAGUUGUGGGGGAUAGCCCGGCGAAAGCCGGAUUAAUACCGCAUACGACCUGAGGGUGAAAGGGGGGGGAUCGCAAGACCUCUCGCAGUUGGAGCGGCCGAUGGCGGAUUAGCUAGUUGGUGAGGUAAAGGCUCACCAAGGCGACGAUCCGUAGCUGGUCUGAGAGGAUGAUCCGCCACACUGGGACUGAGACACGGCCCAGACUCCUACGGGAGGCAGCAGUGGGGAAUUUUGGGACAAUGGGCGAAAGCCUGAUCCAGCCAUGCCGCGUGAGUGAAGAAGGCCUGU
RNAcentral lists this ribosomal RNA (389 nucleotides) under uncultured bacterium. RNAcentral's name for it is "bacterial SSU rRNA". It matches the Rfam family "Bacterial small subunit ribosomal RNA", at positions 29 to 419 of the family's 1533-position model. The record is from RNAcentral.